UCAGUUUAGUUUAUUUUAUGGUCAAAGUUGUUAUUAAUUUGAAAGAGGAAGAUAUUGAGGAAGUUUAUGAGAAGAGAUUGAAGAAGAUAAUUGUGAAGUUUGUUUUUUGUUCUUACUGUAACAAGACAUCAAGAGAGAGAAGAGUUAUAUCCUUUUUUUUAAAAGUUAUUUUUUAUUUGCCUUGCCAUGUGUCACCCGUUGAAUCGAUAUGCAUGAAUCUUGAAAAUAUACCAUGCUGGAUGUUACCGCCCCUCUCUCCUUUUUCAAUUUCAUUUUCAUUUUUUUUAUUUUCUUUUAUUAUUUUUAUUAUUAUUAUUAUUUUUGUUUAGUAAUUAGGUUCUAUUUUAAUGAGAUGGUCAUUGGACUUUUAUGUCUUACACACCCUUGCCGACAUAUAAACCCCUCUAUGUUUUUUUUCUUUUCAUUUUAUUAUUUAUUUGUUUAGUUUAAAAUAGUAAUUAUUUAUUUAUUUAUUUAUUUGGUUAGUUGACUAUAUUUUAAUUGAUUAAUUGAUUUUUAUUUAUUUCAUUGCUAAAUAUAUUAUUUAAUUAAUUGAUU
RNAcentral lists this long non-coding RNA (558 nucleotides) under Lathyrus oleraceus (garden pea). RNAcentral's name for it is "Pisum sativum (pea) long non-coding RNA (PSAT_LNC002526)". Lineage: Eukaryota; Viridiplantae; Streptophyta; Magnoliopsida; Fabales; Fabaceae. The record is from RNAcentral.